RNAcentral lists this ribosomal RNA (1540 nucleotides) under Staphylococcus aureus. RNAcentral describes it as "16S ribosomal RNA". It matches the Rfam family "Bacterial small subunit ribosomal RNA". Lineage: Bacteria; Bacillati; Bacillota; Bacilli; Caryophanales; Staphylococcaceae. The record is from RNAcentral.
AGAGUUUGAUCCUGGCUCAGGAUGAACGCUGGCGGCGUGCCUAAUACAUGCAAGUCGAGCGAACGGACGAGAAGCUUGCUUCUCUGAUGUUAGCGGCGGACGGGUGAGUAACACGUGGAUAACCUACCUAUAAGACUGGGAUAACUUCGGGAAACCGGAGCUAAUACCGGAUAAUAUUUUGAACCGCAUGGUUCAAAAGUGAAAGACGGUCUUGCUGUCACUUAUAGAUGGAUCCGCGCUGCAUUAGCUAGUUGGUAAGGUAACGGCUUACCAAGGCAACGAUGCAUAGCCGACCUGAGAGGGUGAUCGGCCACACUGGAACUGAGACACGGUCCAGACUCCUACGGGAGGCAGCAGUAGGGAAUCUUCCGCAAUGGGCGAAAGCCUGACGGAGCAACGCCGCGUGAGUGAUGAAGGUCUUCGGAUCGUAAAACUCUGUUAUUAGGGAAGAACAUAUGUGUAAGUAACUGUGCACAUCUUGACGGUACCUAAUCAGAAAGCCACGGCUAACUACGUGCCAGCAGCCGCGGUAAUACGUAGGUGGCAAGCGUUAUCCGGAAUUAUUGGGCGUAAAGCGCGCGUAGGNGGUUUUUUAAGUCUGAUGUGAAAGCCCACGGCUCAACCGUGGAGGGUCAUUGGAAACUGGAAAACUUGAGUGCAGAAGAGGAAAGUGGAAUUCCAUGUGUAGCGGUGAAAUGCGCAGAGAUAUGGAGGAACACCAGUGGCGAAGGCGACUUUCUGGUCUGUAACUGACGCUGAUGUGCGAAAGCGUGGGGAUCAAACAGGAUUAGAUACCCUGGUAGUCCACGCCGUAAACGAUGAGUGCUAAGUGUUAGGGGGUUUCCGCCCCUUAGUGCUGCAGCUAACGCAUUAAGCACUCCGCCUGGGGAGUACGACCGCAAGGUUGAAACUCAAAGGAAUUGACGGGGACCCGCACAAGCGGUGGAGCAUGUGGUUUAAUUCGAAGCAACGCGAAGAACCUUACCAAAUCUUGACAUCCUUUGACAACUCUAGAGAUAGAGCCUUCCCCUUCGGGGGACAAAGUGACAGGUGGUGCAUGGUUGUCGUCAGCUCGUGUCGUGAGAUGUUGGGUUAAGUCCCGCAACGAGCGCAACCCUUAAGCUUAGUUGCCAUCAUUAAGUUGGGCACUCUAAGUUGACUGCCGGUGACAAACCGGAGGAAGGUGGGGAUGACGUCAAAUCAUCAUGCCCCUUAUGAUUUGGGCUACACACGUGCUACAAUGGACAAUACAAAGGGUAGCGAAACCGCGAGGUCAAGCAAAUCCCAUAAAGUUGUUCUCAGUUCGGAUUGUAGUCUGCAACUCGACUACAUGAAGCUGGAAUCGCUAGUAAUCGUAGAUCAGCAUGCUACGGUGAAUACGUUCCCGGGUCUUGUACACACCGCCCGUCACACCACGAGAGUUUGUAACACCCGAAGCCGGUGGAGUAACCUUUUAGGAGCUAGCCGUCGAAGGUGGGACAAAUGAUUGGGGUGAAGUCGUAACAAGGUAGCCGUAUCGGAAGGUGCGGCUGGAUCACCU